RNAcentral lists this ribosomal RNA (486 nucleotides) under uncultured bacterium. RNAcentral's name for it is "bacterial SSU rRNA". It matches the Rfam family "Bacterial small subunit ribosomal RNA", at positions 28 to 507 of the family's 1533-position model. The record is from RNAcentral.
GAUGAACGCUAGCUACAGGCUUAACACAUGCAAGUCGAGGGGUAGCACGGAGGAAGCUUGCUUCCUUGGGUGACGACCGGCGCACGGGUGAGUAACGCGUAUCCGACCUACCCAUAACUCGGGCACAGCCGCUCGAAAGAGUGAUUGAUUCCCGAUAUGUCAUUAGAGUAGAUUUAAUGAUGAAAGAUUCAUCGGUUAUGGAUGGGGAUGCGUAAGAUUAGGUAGUAGGCGGGGUAACGGCCCACCUAGCCGACGAUCUUUAGGGGUUCUGAGAGGAAGGUCCCCCACACUGGUACUGAGACACGGACCAGACUCCUACGGGAGGCAGCAGUGAGGAAUAUUGGUCAAUGGGCGCAAGCCUGAACCAGCCAAGUAGCGUGAAGGAUGACUGCCCUAUGGGUUGUAAACUUCUUUUAUACGGGAACAAACCUUGGUACGCGUACCAAAUUGCGCGUACCGUAUGAAUAAGCAUCGGCUAACUCCGUG